This 468-nucleotide long non-coding RNA is filed under the name Capsella rubella. RNAcentral describes it as "long non-coding RNA (CRUB_LNC001163)". Lineage: Eukaryota; Viridiplantae; Streptophyta; Magnoliopsida; Brassicales; Brassicaceae. The record is from RNAcentral.
AUGUGGAAGAAGACGUUUCUGGUAACCCAAGGUGGGAGAGGAAUAUCACCCGAAAAUAGCUCCGGCAACAAAGUACCGGAGACUCUCCCGCUACUCAAGUAAUCACCAUCACAACCGGCUGAGUUUUCACCUUAAACUCAUACAAGGCUGAUUCAGAAGUUGAAAAAAGCAAAACAGUUUGUAAAUUAGACAAAGCUGCAUAAUCUCAAACCUUUUCUUUAUCUUCCUCUCUAUUGUGGAAAUUAAGGUAAUUAAGAAAAAACGAAGCUUGUAAAAGUAACAUAAAAGUCGUCGAUCUUUGUUGUACCUUCGUAGACAAGAUCAGUAAAUCGUGUGUUUGUCUUCUUGUACGGAUUUGGAUUUUAAAUGUUUUUGUUUCUUCAGCGUGAAGAACCCUAGAGAGAGUUUCUUGAUUCCUUUUGUUUCCCUUUGUUUAGUUGUCAUCACUUUGUCUUCCGUACGUUACGU